RNAcentral lists this ribosomal RNA (244 nucleotides) under uncultured Staphylococcus sp. Its description in RNAcentral is "partial 16S ribosomal RNA". It matches the Rfam family "Bacterial small subunit ribosomal RNA", at positions 96 to 334 of the family's 1533-position model. Lineage: Bacteria; Bacillati; Bacillota; Bacilli; Caryophanales; Staphylococcaceae. The record is from RNAcentral.
CGGCGGACGGGUGAGUAACACGUGGAUAACCUACCUAUAAGACUGGGAUAACUUCGGGAAACCGGAGCUAAUACCGGACAAUAUAUUGAACCGCAUGGUUCAAUAGUGAAAGACGGUUUUGCUGUCACUUAUAGAUGGAUCCGCGCCGCAUUAGCUAGUUGGUAAGGUAACGGCUUACCAAGGCAACGAUGCGUAGCCGACCUGAGAGGGUGAUCGGCCACACUGGAACUGAGACACGGUCCAG